CUCGUUCUUCCGGGAGAAAUCUUUCCGCAAGUCGCGAAGGUAGCUCGUGUCACUUGCGACGGGUGGCAAGUCUGCCAAGCUGGGCUCGAAAUGGACCUGGAGAGGGGAGGAAAAUUGCGUAUUUACAUACCUCAUUUUUGUCAUGCUUGGAGGAAAGGAUCAAGGCUGGAUGGGAAGAUUUCACUUUUUGGGAAGAAAUUUUCUGGAAAUUCUGGAAAUAUUUAGUGAAUAUUUGUAAAAUUAAGUUAGUUUAAAUUUUCUUGAAAUUAUAAAAAUAUUUUGUGAUCAUGUGGAGAGAAAUUUCGAAAGAAAGUGACAACAAAAUUGAAAUUUGUAACUAUUCUAUGGAAUGUUUAGAAAUGUAACGUUUCAUAAUUUUUUACAUGUUGCUGAUUUUUGGUCUUCUUAUUUUUUGGAGUAUUUUUCGACUUCGAGACAGAUUUUGGAACAUUGUCUUUCGUAUUGUGAAAUGGAAUUUCAAUUUUUGUAUCCGAUUCAUCCCCAAUCGCGUGCCAUUCUUGACCAUCCCAUUUUAUUUUCUUCCACUCGAUCGCAUUCUAAAAUUUAGAGAGAAAAAUAGUAAUGUCAAUUAUGUAAAUGUGUAAUGAUGUUUAAUGGAAUAAUUAAUUAUAUACGUACAGAAUUUGGUGCUUUACGAGCAUUAGUUAUACUUAAUAUAAUUACGAAAAUUGGAAAACAUGACAAAAUUAGGCGUAUUUUCUGCAUUAUAAUUGCUAAAAUUUAACAAAAUAUGACAGAGUUUGACGACAAAAUUGUUAAAAUACGAAAAACUGAGAAACUAGAGUUAAAUACAGGUAAAUCGGUCUGAAUUUGAAAUGAAUGAUGUGUUAAAUUUCAAUUCUGUAUUUAUUGAACGUAUUGUUUUGAAACCUUGAAACUUUUAAAAGAAAAUUACGAAAUAGAUUAUGUGUUUACCGGUAACUUUCUCAUUACAUGAUACAAUUUGAAGAAUAAUGAAACAAUGGAUAUGUCAAAAUUCUUUGAUCGACUUUAAAUACGAAUGUGUAGAGGUAUGUAUAGUGAAUAUUAAUUAGAAAUCAUGCGAUGUGAUAGAUUUUCGGGAAAUUUUGGGAAAUAAUAAUGUAAGAAAAAUAGAAUACAAAAUCUGCCCAAUUUUUAAAGUUUAUUAAAAACUGAGAGCAAAUUUGGUUGAAUUAAACGAAAAAUCGAUUUUGAAGAAAUUAAACUAAAAUUAUUUUAAAGCAGGUUUGAGGAUUCCUCCAUCAUGGAAGUUUAAAUUUGUCCAAUUAAAAAUGUAAAAAAAAUGUGGACCGUAUUCGUAAAAUGACGGAAUCAAAAGUAAUAAAAUAACUCAGAUAACAUAAUAACAAAUCAGAUUAACCAAAGUAAAUUGAAAAUUUAGACGGAGUAUUAAUUUGUACAAUUAUUUAAAUUGAGUUUUAAUAAUAUUACCGUUCCAUAGUUAAAGAUGAUUUGUGCACACAGAUUACGGGUUUCGCUUAAUUUGGAAAUUUUAAAACUUGUAAUAAUUUGUAGGUUUACAAAGGUUUGCAUAGAUCAAAAGCGUCUUAAAUCCAUUUCAAUAACCUAGUACGAUAAAUCACGUAGCAAAAUCUUUAUAAAAAUUAUUACCGAUAUACGACUUCAAUAUUCUUAAUAAAAUAAAAUUAAGUGUAGAUUUACAUUUAAAAUUGAUCACAAAAAAAUUAUUUAUUAGCGGAUCAUGAUAGAUGAGCAUUUUUAUUCGUGUAAAAUAUUUAUAGCAAAUUUGCAAGUCGACAAAGGGCUUAAUGACUCGUUAAAAAAUCGCAAAAAUCAACACAUGUGUAAUAAUUUCUCAGAUCAGGGAAUUUUUAAAUUUUUGGAUGACGAAUUUGUAAAUUUGUAAUCGUAAGUUGAUAUUUCUGAAGGCUUUUUAAACUUUAAAUCUCCUCGUUCAAAAACUGUCAAAAUCCGGAGUGUAUGCUUUUUAUUGACAAUAACCUACUCUAAAAAGUUUUGUGGAUCAGAAUUUUAAAAUAAAUUUCCAGAGCAGAGAAAUUAUUUUAAAUGUUUUGAUUUUUACGAUUUUUGAAUGAGUCAUUAAGCCCUACAUACAUGUAUGUCAAUUUGCAAAUUUAGUGUAAGUAUUUUAGACAAUUAAAUAUGCUCAUCUAUCAUUUUCGACUUUUAAGUAAUUUUUUUGUGAAGUUCAAAAUCCGUAAUAAUUUUUACAAAGAUUUGCCUACGUGCUUUAUCGUACUAGGUUAUGUGAACGGAGUUAAGAGUAUUUUUUAUUAGUUUUGAAACUGCUUAAGGGGAUGUGGGAGGAAAGGGGGAUUGGAGAGCAUGUCAUCGAGUGGCCGAUGGAUUGACUACAGUGCAGUGGUCAACUGGUCGCUCACUCGAAUUUGCCUCACAAGCUCCAUCUGCAGCGAGUGAUGCAAAAUUUAACCGCAAUUACAUUAGCCGUAUGACCGAAUUAUUUUAUUAUUUAACACCAGUUGUUUUUAUUUUGGCGUAAAAAUCUUACGAAAUUGUAUAAUUUGAACGCCAAAAUGAAAAUAACAGGUGUUCAAUAAUAAAGUAAUUCGGAUCAUUCGGGUAAUGUAACGCAGAUCCAGUGGAACUAUUACAAGAAUUUGAAAAAACGCAUUUUUUUAAUUUUCAAACUCUAAUUUCUUGGCGAAUAAACCUUCCACCUCGAGUGUUUUGACAGUUUUGGAAUCAUGAAUUGUUGUGCCACGAUAGUACGACAUGUUGCUCAUGCCAAAUUAUAAGGUGGCCCUCCUACGUGACAAAUUCCGCAAAAAUUACAAAGAGCCAGUUCUACAUGGAUUGAAAUCUAUAUUCUCGUAACCAUGGUCGUACUAUUGUUGUGCAUAAAUUUCUGAAGAGAAUGACACCAAGUUAUCCAAAUUUGAUAGUCUGUAACCCAUAAAUUUACAACGUUUGUCAAAAAAAGAAUUACACGAAGGCUUAUGCAAUGUGAGGGUGGACGUAGUUCAAACAUAGCGGAUAAAGAUCGAUCGAUACUAAUUUUUGGGAAGAUUUUACUACGUUUAGUUAACCUAGGUAGCCGGCUCGUGAUUUGUAGAGUAUUAGUUUAAUUUAAAAAAAUCAAAAAUCAAAAAAUGUAAUAAAUAAUGUCAAAGUUGAAAAUUUGCAUAGCAUUUUUGCAUAUUAUUUGUUCAGAAAUAUGCACCGAUUCUUUUGUUAUAUUUUGACUAUAGGCGAUCAAAUCCGAUUUUUAUAACCUGACUCACUCAGUUUAAACUUAAAGUUGAGCUAAAUUUAUCCUUAGGAUUUUUUCUUUGAUUAAAUGAACAUUGAAAAUCGUGCAAGAAUUUGAGAAAAACUUAAGAUUUCUGA
Folsomia candida is the source of this 3333-nucleotide long non-coding RNA. RefSeq lists it as uncharacterized. Lineage: Eukaryota; Metazoa; Arthropoda; Collembola; Entomobryomorpha; Isotomidae. The transcript has 3 exons. The record is from RefSeq and is a predicted model, not a curated record.